GGUUAAGCGACUAAGCGUACACGGUGGAUGCCCUGGCAGUCAGAGGCGAUGAAGGACGUGCUAAUCUGCGAAAAGCGUCGGUAAGGUGAUAUGAACCGUUAUAGCCGGCGAUGUCCGAAUGGGGAAACCCAGUGCAAUUCGUUGCACUAUCGUUAACUGAAUACAUAGGUUAACGAGGCGAACCGGGGGAACUGAAACAUCUAAGUACCCCGAGGAAAAGAAAUCAACCGAGAUUCCCCCAGUAGCGGCGAGCGAACGGGGAGCAGCCCGGAGUCUGAAUCAGCUUGUGUGUUAGUGGAAGCGUCUGGAAAGUCGCAGGGUACAGGGUGAUACUCCCGUACACUAAAACACACAGGUUGUGAACUCGAAGAGUAGGGCGGGACACGUGGUAUCCUGUCUGAAUAUGGGGGGACCAUCCUCCAAGGCUAAAUACUCCUGACUGACCGAUAGUGAACCAGUACCGUGAGGGAAAGGCGAAAAGAACCCCGGCGAGGGGAGUGAAAAAGAACCUGAAACCGUGUACGUACAAGCAGUAGGAGCCCACUAGUUGGGUGACUGCGUACCUUUUGUAUAAUGGGUCAGCGACUUAUAUUCUGUAGCAAGGUUAACCGUAUAGGGGAGCCGCAGGGAAACCGAGUCUUAACUGGGCGUUAAGUUGCAGGGUAUAGACCCGAAACCCGGUGAUCUAGCCAUGGGCAGGUUGAAGGUUGGGUAACACUAACUGGAGGACCGAACCGACUAAUGUUGAAAAAUUAGCGGAUGACUUGUGGCUGGGGGUGAAAGGCCAAUCAAACCGGGAGAUAGCUGGUUCUCCCCGAAAGCUAUUUAGGUAGCGCCUCGUGAACUCAUCUUCGGGGGUAGAGCACUGUUUCGGCUAGGGGGUCAUCCCGACUUACCAACCCGAUGCAAACUACGAAUACCGAAGAAUGUUAUCACGGGAGACACACGGCGGGUGCUAACGUCCGUCGUGAAGAGGGAAACAACCCAGACCGCCAGCUAAGGUCCCAAAGUCAUGGUUAAGUGGGAAACGAUGUGGGAAGGCCCAGACAGCCAGGAUGUUGGCUUAGAAGCAGCCAUCAUUUAAAGAAAGCGUAAUAGCUCACUGGUCGAGUCGGCCUGCGCGGAAGAUGUAACGGGGCUAAACCAUGCACCGAAGCUGCGGCAGCGACACUAUGUGUUGUUGGGUAGGGGAGCGUUCUGUAAGCCGUUGAAGGUGGCCUGUGAGGGUUGCUGGAGGUAUCAGAAGUGCGAAUGCUGACAUAAGUAACGAUAAUGCGGGUGAAAAACCCGCACGCCGGAAGACCAAGGGUUCCUGUCCAACGUUAAUCGGGGCAGGGUGAGUCGACCCCUAAGGCGAGGCCGAAAGGCGUAGUCGAUGGGAAACAGGUUAAUAUUCCUGUACUCGGUGUUACUGCGAAGGGGGGACGGAGAAGGCUAUGUUGGCCGGGCGACGGUUGUCCCGGUUUAAGCAUGUAGGCGGAUGUUCCAGGUAAAUCCGGAACGUUAUUAACGCUGAGGUGUGAUGACGAGGCACUACGGUGCUGAAGUGACAAAUGCCCUGCUUCCAGGAAAAGCCUCUAAGCAUCAGGUAACAUCAAAUCGUACCCCAAACCGACACAGGUGGUCAGGUAGAGAAUACCAAGGCGCUUGAGAGAACUCGGGUGAAGGAACUAGGCAAAAUGGUGCCGUAACUUCGGGAGAAGGCACGCUGAUGGUAGGUGAAGUGACUUGCUCAUGGAGCUGAAAUCAGUCGAAGAUACCAGCUGGCUGCAACUGUUUAUUAAAAACACAGCACUGUGCAAACACGAAAGUGGACGUAUACGGUGUGACGCCUGCCCGGUGCCGGAAGGUUAAUUGAUGGGGUUAUCCGUAAGGAGAAGCUCUUGAUCGAAGCCCCGGUAAACGGCGGCCGUAACUAUAACGGUCCUAAGGUAGCGAAAUUCCUUGUCGGGUAAGUUCCGACCUGCACGAAUGGCGUAAUGAUGGCCAGGCUGUCUCCACCCGAGACUCAGUGAAAUUGAACUCGCUGUGAAGAUGCAGUGUACCCGCGGCAAGACGGAAAGACCCCGUGAACCUUUACUAUAGCUUGACACUGAACACUGGUCCUUGAUGUGUAGGAUAGGUGGGAGGCUUUGAAGUGUGGACGCCAGUCUGCAUGGAGCCAUCCUUGAAAUACCACCCUUUAAUGGCUGGUGUUCUAACGUGGGCCCCUAAUCGGGGUUGCGGACAGUGUCUGGUGGGUAGUUUGACUGGGGCGGUCUCCUCCUAAAGAGUAACGGAGGAGCACGAAGGUCAGCUAAUCCUGGUCGGACAUCAGGAGGUUAGUGCAAUGGCAUAAGCUGGCUUGACUGCGAGCGUGACGGCGCGAGCAGGUGCGAAAGCAGGUCAUAGUGAUCCGGUGGUUCUGAAUGGAAGGGCCAUCGCUCAACGGAUAAAAGGUACUCCGGGGAUAACAGGCUGAUACCGCCCAAGAGUUCAUAUCGACGGCGGUGUUUGGCACCUCGAUGUCGGCUCAUCACAUCCUGGGGCUGAAGUAGGUCCCAAGGGUAUGGCUGUUCGCCAUUUAAAGUGGUACGCGAGCUGGGUUUAGAACGUCGUGAGACAGUUCGGUCCCUAUCUGCCGUGGGCGCUGGAGAAUUGAGGGGGGCUGCUCCUAGUACGAGAGGACCGGAGUGGACGCAUCACUGGUGUUCGGGUUGUCAUGCCAAUGGCAUUGCCCGGUAGCUAAAUGCGGAAGAGAUAAGUGCUGAAAGCAUCUAAGCACGAAACUUGCCCCGAGAUGAGUUCUCCCUGACUCCCUGAGAGUCCUGAAGGAACGUUGAAGACGACGACGUUGAUAGGCCGGGUGUGUAAGCGCAGCGAUGCGUUGAGCUAACCGGUACUAAUGAACCGUGAGGCUUAACCUU
This 2906-nucleotide ribosomal RNA is filed under the name Klebsiella michiganensis. RNAcentral's name for it is "23S ribosomal RNA". It matches the Rfam family "Bacterial large subunit ribosomal RNA". The record is from RNAcentral. Lineage: Bacteria; Pseudomonadati; Pseudomonadota; Gammaproteobacteria; Enterobacterales; Enterobacteriaceae.